UCAACAGGCCCCACCCCAUUAAAUUGUGUUGCUUCCUUACAAUGAGAGACAACUAUACAGGUGAUCAUUUCACUCACCCUCGGGUGAUCUAAUUACAGCCAUGAGAUCACCUGAGGGUCAACGUUUCUCAAUCAAAUGUAAUGCAGUGUUGGUCUUAGUUGCAAAACUUUGUUUAUGAGUCACAUCAGAAAAGGGAUGAUCCUACGCGACUUGUUUCCUAAGACAAACCAACUAGACUAAAGCAGAGGAGCAGUGGACAUGCAGGGUCACAUUCAUCUCUCAGACAGAGGGUGACAGAGUGUCAGCGGAGCAGAACAAAGGUCUCACCUGACAAGAUGCUGCAACUCACCUUUUUGUCUUUAAGGUAAGUCAUUCAUUAACACUGUCAGCCAUGAUUUGAUUAAUAAUAGCCGUGAUAAUUUAAUCAGAGAUUACACUUUGACAGUGACUGUUGGUCCAUACCACAGGAGGGGAGAGAUAUUAGCAUGUCAGCUAAUGAAAAAGUCGUAUUAAUUACCUUUACAUGUUUUUAAAAAUGAGCAUCAAGUUAAAAACAAAAUGUCCAUCUUUUGGUUAUGCAACAUGCAGUGUUUGGAGGACUGGAGGGAAAUAACCUUGAUUGUUUCAGACAUUUCAGUUUGUUUUUGAAUUACAGUUUUUUAUAAAAAAUGACAAUAACCAAUACAGCCAAAUGUCUUCGUUUAGGAGAGUAGACAGUCACAUAGAAGCAUUAUAAGAGUGUAGUUGGGGACAGUGUUGCUUAGAGCCAAAUGCUAAUGUCAGGGUGCUAACACGACCACAGUAAUUAUGUUAAUAUGCUGAUGAUUUGCGGGGGGGCAGAUUGAAGCACGCUAUCUUCUAAUAAGCAGUAAAUGUACAUUGCUAAGGCUGAUUUGAGUUCUCUGUAGUUACAUAAAAGGAAAUGGUAAAAUGGAUGUAUCUGUGGACCGUGUUGUAUAACCACUGUUGGAUUAUCAGUGGCAGUUGAAGAAUAGUAGAUAUCAAAAACUAAUUUUUGACUUGUUAGAAAUCCAAGCCAACAGAUCCUGUAUUUCAUUUUGACGAGCAACAAUUCGAUUCAAAGAUAUCAACAUUUUUCCUUGUCAAAAUUCUGUCAGACUCAUCAAUUCAUUUUUAUUCUAUAAUCAUCCCUAUAAAUGUGUUUAAAUUCUCAUUCAGCUCUUUUUAGUGUACAUCAACCUAAUUACAUUGUGAUGUAUUGCACUAUAUUAUAUUAUACUAUGUUAUAUUUGAUUUUGUAUAACUGCACUGUUAUUCUUUAGAUCGUAAUAUCACACUGCUCUUUUACUGCUGUUUACAUAACCCUAAACUUUUUGAUCACACAAGUCACUUUAUAUCAUCACUGGUCACUUUAACUUGACAUCCACUACACAUAAUUCGUAAUUGUCCUGUAUUGUUUAACUAUUUAUAUUCUUUUGUAUAUACAUCCUAUUGUUGUUUCUAUCUGUAUUUAUCUUAUCUAUCCUGUGAAUUUUGUAUUACUUCUUUCUCUGUCUUGCUGCUGCAAUGCCCGAAUUUCCCCUCUGGAGAUCAAUAAAGUAUUAACCUAUCCUAUCCUCUGUAGAGUUUCUGCUCUGGCUCUCUGCCGCUUUCUGCUGGUCAGAUCUCAGACACCGUAGGCUUGUCUUGUUUUGCAGAUUGCAAAGCUAUUCAUCUAUCAAAACAAUUGCCGUAAGUGUUUGUUGUAGAAUUAUUGAAAUCACAAAAUGUUUUAGAUUUGGCAAUUUCAGUAUAUUUUAUUUACAGUUUUAUAAACAAGCUGAUUCAAUGCAAGAUCUUCUUGGAAAAAGGUAAGAAAAACAAGUGAUUUCUCGAUUAAGGGGUUACAUGUGUGUGUGUGUGUGUGUGUGUGUGUGUGUGUGUGUGUGUGUGUGUUUAUGCAUGCCUGUUUGUCACAACUGUUGUGUGCAUGUGUAACUAUUAUUUAAGACAUUCUCAGUUGCAGUCGUAAUACAAGUGCAGUUAUAAUCUGCUCAACCCUAUUCACACGGAACCAGACUCUAUUUACAAUUCAUUCAAGGUAAGCGCUCCACACAGGUCGGCUGACUGUACACGGCAACAACAGGCAUCCAGAAACAAACUAAAGCAUUGGAAUCAACAAGUAUAGCAUGCACACGGCAGAAUGAUCAGAAGCAAACUCUCAGUCAAAAUUUAGAAACCAAAUUCUGUUGCAGCGAGUGUCAUAGUUUCUCUUGUAACGACUUAGAUAAUACCUUGAAAUAUGAAAAAUGAAAUAAAAUGUAAAAAAAAAAACAUAGGUGGAAAUAAAA
Molecule: long non-coding RNA, 2291 nt
Organism: Labrus bergylta (ballan wrasse)
Lineage: Eukaryota; Metazoa; Chordata; Actinopteri; Labriformes; Labridae
Source: RefSeq, a predicted model, not a curated record